ACUGUACUUCCUCCGUCCUAAAAUUCUUGUCUUUGAUUUGUCUAGAUACGAAUGUAUCUAGUUACAUUUUAAUAUUUUAAUAUAUUCAUUUUUAAACAAAACUAAGACAAAAAAAUUAAGACGGAGGGAGUAUUUA
This 136-nucleotide microRNA precursor is filed under the name Hordeum vulgare. Its description in RNAcentral is "microRNA MIR1122". It matches the Rfam family "MIR1120/MIR1122 microRNA precursor family". The record is from RNAcentral. Lineage: Eukaryota; Viridiplantae; Streptophyta; Magnoliopsida; Poales; Poaceae.